GUCAGUCUGUUUCCAUCUCCAAUGGCCGCCAUGGCCACCAACACUUCCGGCCCUGUUCCGUUCACGGACGUGGACGACGGCACGGUGCCGAAGCGCCCAGCCAAGGAGGAGUUCGGGGACCUCGUCGCAGCGCUGCCGCGCAAGCAUCAGGCCGGCCUGGAGCUGCGCCUGUACCAGGGAUUCUGGCUGCCGGACCACUGGGUCGCGGGCACCGUGGUCUUCCAGCGCCGCUUCGCCCCGCGCCCCGACGACGUGAUCCUGGCCAGCUACCCCAAGUGCGGCACCACGUGGCUCAAGGCGCUGGCGUUCGCCACCAUGACGCGCGACGCGUACCCGGCGCCGGCGCAGCACCCGCUGCUCCGCCUCAACCCGCACGACUGCGUCCCGUUCCUGGACGAGAUCUUCGCGGACGGGCAGGAGGCCAAGCUGGAGAGGCUCCCGUCGCCGCGCCUCAUGAACACGCACAUGCCACACACCCUGCUCCCCGAGUCGGUCAUCGCCGGGUGCAAGGUGGCGUACGUCUGCAGGGACCCCAAGGACAUGGUGGUGUCGCUGUGGCACUUCCUCCGGCGCCGGCAGCCGGAGCUCCCGUUCGCGGAGCUGUUCGAGCACGUGUGCGACGGCGCCGUGGCCGUCGGCCCGAUCUGGGACCACGUGCUCAGCUACUGGCGCGCGAGCCUCGCGCGGCCCGACAGGGUGCUCUUCCUCAGGUACGAGGACCUGCUGCUGGACACGGGGAAGCACGUCAGGCGGCUGGCGGAGUUCAUGGGGCGGCCGUUCUCGCCCGCCGACGAGGGCGCCGUGGAGGCGGUGGUGGAGCUGUGCAGCUUCGAGAAGAUGAAGGGGCUGGAGGUGAACAAGAAGGGCUCGGCGGGGGCGUACCACGCCAUGCCCCGGGACUCUUUCUUCAGGAAAGGGGUCGCCGGCGACUGGGUGAACCACAUGACGCCGGAGAUGGCGACGCGGCUGGAUGAGGUCGUCCGUGACAAGUUUCGCGGCACGGGGCUCGCGGCUCCGUGA
Molecule: ribosomal RNA, 1020 nt
Filed under: Triticum aestivum (bread wheat)
Lineage: Eukaryota; Viridiplantae; Streptophyta; Magnoliopsida; Poales; Poaceae
Description: partial small subunit ribosomal RNA
Source: RNAcentral